This 32-nucleotide ribosomal RNA is filed under the name Papiliotrema laurentii. RNAcentral's name for it is "partial 28S ribosomal RNA". RNAcentral also lists the same sequence under 1 other name. The record is from RNAcentral. Lineage: Eukaryota; Fungi; Basidiomycota; Tremellomycetes; Tremellales; Rhynchogastremaceae.
CUCAAAUCAGGUAGGACUACCCGCUGAACUUA